Physeter macrocephalus (sperm whale) is the source of this 1142-nucleotide long non-coding RNA. RefSeq lists it as uncharacterized. The transcript has 3 exons. Lineage: Eukaryota; Metazoa; Chordata; Mammalia; Artiodactyla; Physeteridae. The record is from RefSeq and is a predicted model, not a curated record.
UCCGGUGGGCGGGCUGUGGUGACUUAACAGCCGGAAGGCGAGACGCCGCGGGAAAAGCGGUCAUGUUAGGUGGUCCAGGUGGUUUGGGGCUGAGGCCGUCUCCUCAAGAGUAACCGCGGGCCUGUGCUACGGUCACGCCACCGGCCUCCGUUUCCUUUAGCCUUCUCUCUCACCAAACGAUUUUCCUGUCCAGUUAUAAAGUGCAAGUUGUUUCCCCAAGGUUCCAGCAUUUCUUCAUCGGUGGUUGUUCAGCACUUAGUCAUGACCCUAGUAUUUCCAUCAGAAGAGCUGAGAUGAAGCAGUAGAGACCAGAUGUACCUUUCCCAGAUGAAACAACUAAAAAGACAAGACAAAAUAUAUUAAAGAAUGGUUCUUGAGACACUGGACACCACACAGUUAAGAACAGUGAUCCCUGAGAGAUGAGAAACAAAUAAGGUAAGCCCUUUGAUUAUCCCACCCUACUGCCUUAAAGAGAGUUUCCAGGUUACAACUUAGGGUGAGGAACCUAGGUGGAAUCCAGCACUCCCUGAGCUGAGGAGAUAAAGGUGAGUCUGGGAAAAGCAAGGCAGCUAGAAUUUGCAGGACAGAGUACCAGAGAAGAGAGACCUCUGGAGAUCUUCACAGGGUCCUCCAUGAUUAUUCAGAAAAGUGAUGACCAGUGCAUGCAUGUUAGGAGACUACUUGAGGCUGAGAAAGAACCAGCCCAAAAGGUAAGAGGGAACAGCACCUGAUGCACAUACAGGGUCAGAAAAAGUUCAUGGAACAUUUGAGUAGAGUUCUCAGAAGUUUCCUUCUUCAGUAAUGGGGAAUAAUUAGCCCUUGGUUAGUGUGCUGGUCCUGCCCAACAAAACCUAAAAAUAAGGUAUGAAGGGACCAAACUGUUUUUAAGUAGCUUAAGCACAUCCCAGAAUAAACUGGAAAUUUAUAGGAAUACAAAAAUAUCCAGCACUCAACAAGGUAAAAUUCACAAUAACUGGUAUCCAAUCAAAGAUUACUAGACUUCUAGAAAGGCAAGAAAACACAAUUCAUAAUGAGGAAAAUAAUCAAACCAACUUAGAACUUACAUAGAUUAGCAGAGGAUGACAGUAAAGCAGUUAUUUUAACUGUAUGUGAUAUGUUCAAAAAUUAAGUACAGACACGGA